AUGGCACCUGUGUUUGGCUGUGCCGCUGCCUUUGUCCAUGUGUUUGUUUACUUUACAUGUUGUGCAAGUGUUUUUGCUACAGUUUUGUCCGGCGUCAUCUCCCUUGGGAUUUAUGAUCGUCAUGUGUUAUUAGCGAUCAAAUUUGCUAUGGAUAAUCUUCAGAGUCAACGAAACAAGGUUGUUUUCCCACCACCGUUUGAGCGCGGCGCACCACCCAGUUUACCUCCAUUCUUGUCGGUCAGCUCAUUUUUGCUUCAGAGGCCUCAUCGGAGGAAGCGGGGGAAGAGAGACUGCUUUCUUGUGCUGCUUUGUUGGCUUCGGAGAGAAGUGGACCUUCGGGGGCUUUAUUCCUGGGCUACUGCCGGUAAUAUACACCUAAGACUUGUCGGAGCUGGAUUAAUCCCCACAACCCCCUGUGUUUACCACCCGAGCUGUCAUCUGAAAGCAUGGAAAGCCACGGCUCAUCGCAGCAGGAACCCUGAUUUGCUGUGCGGUUUACCUCAUAGCGCAGACUCUCUUCCAGGCCACCCUACACCUGUCCCGGUGGGUCGCAAUGUUAAAAUGAUGUUAAUUAAUGCCCGGUCAAUUGCCAACAAGUCUUAUAUCUUAAAUGACUUCUUCUGUGCAGAGAAGCUUGAUUUUAUGUUUAUCUCUGAGACAUGGCAGCGUGAGAAUGAAGUCUCACAUCUUUUAGAGCUAUGUCCCGCAGGCUGUUCAUUUCUCUGUGCACCUCGGAUAUCUGGACGAGGACGUGGAACAGCUUUAAUCUUUAAAAAGAAAUUUUUAUGCCAGAUGAUCUCUUCAAGCUGCUACAACCCUUUUGAGAUGAUUAUGAUAAAAAUUGGAAGAGAUCAGCAUAUGUACGGUAUCGUAAUUUAUCGUCCACCUGGCUCUGCUGCGUCUUUUCUGUCAGACUUGCAAGAAUUUUUAACUUCCACUAUUAAAAUGUGCAAGGUAUUGUUGGUGACUUCAACAUUAAUGCAGAACACUCAUCAAAUAGUACCACUAAGGAGUUCCAGAGCAUCAUGGACUCUUUUAAUUUUGUUCAGCAUGUAUCAGGUCCUACUCAUACUGCUGGGCAUACUCCGGACUUGA
Molecule: long non-coding RNA, 1095 nt
Filed under: Oreochromis niloticus (Nile tilapia)
Lineage: Eukaryota; Metazoa; Chordata; Actinopteri; Cichliformes; Cichlidae
Description: lncRNA (ENSONIG00000029252.1)
Source: RNAcentral